RNAcentral lists this long non-coding RNA (1198 nucleotides) under Equus caballus (horse). Its description in RNAcentral is "lncRNA (ENSECAG00000051586.1)". The record is from RNAcentral. Lineage: Eukaryota; Metazoa; Chordata; Mammalia; Perissodactyla; Equidae.
CUUUGGAGUUACAUGCCUCUUCAGGGAAAUUGUGCCUGCUUCAAUGUAGCUAGGACUAAAUGUGAAGGUGACAUAUCAUGUGACACUUGGCUAUGCUAGAAACUUGAAGAAAUAAGCAUCUUACUUCAAAUAUGCACAUAAGAAAGUGAGUUCUUACAGAAACAUUUCCUUUAAAAAAAUCUGAUUCAAUGAAUGGAGCUACAGGUCAUUCAAACUGGCUCUUGGCUCUUGGCUGGACUAUUUAUUUUUUUUCUCAUAUAACAGAUCAAACGCGGAGUAAGACUGUUGGACUAGAGUUCCUAUGGGGUGGUGCCUGGUGGGAAGGCCACAGGGAAGCUACAUGGAUCUUUGGAAGUGAAUAGACCAUGGGCAGAAAGUGGAGAGGGUAGAAGGGCUCCAAGUUAUUUACAAGAUGUUAUGUGGCAGAAGGUUUCCCAGCAUAUGGGUGAUAAGGAGCAAUGUACAGCUGCAUCAUUAAAUCAUUCCCCUUGAACUGAGGUACAAGCACAAAAUCCAACCUCAACUGUACAGUUGUGCAGGGAGUAAACAUUGAUCCACAGAGGGCAUGGUGGUCCUUAUGGGAGGAGGGUGGAAACUACUCUGAGACUGACAUCAGAACCUCUGAGAAAGCAUUUCCAAGACUACAUGUUUCAGAGCGAUCUAGGCUCAUGAGAGAGCCAAGAGAAAUACGUGAAAUUACCAAAGUGACUUUCUCAUGACAUUUCAGACUGAAAGUUGAUAAUGACGAUGUUUAACCAAGAUUUUGUUUUGCUUUGUUUUCUGAAAAAAACCGAAGACCGUUCUGGAAGGGAAAGGAGCUUCACAGUGAGUCCUGGGUCCUGAUUUGUUGAGAGAGGAUUCCCUGCACACUGGACACUAGGCUGUGUCGAUCUCAGGGCUGGCUGUCAGCAAUGGUUGGAAUCCUGGUUGAGGCUACUCAUUUCUAGAAACUGGAGAUAUUUGUUAGGAGUGUAGUGCGAGGAAAUAGAACAUUUUAAAAUCGCUGUCAGAACAGUAGCUAUCAAACUGGGGUUUAUGGAUUCUCUAGGAGAAAUUUUGCUUUUAGAAUUUUCAUUGGAUGACUGAAUAAAAGAGCAAUAUUUUAAAGCCUAUUUUGGAUCCUCCAGAUGAUGCCUUAUAAGUAAGUCUUGUCCUACAAUUUCAGUGGCUACAUUUUCAAUCAUGGAGCCAAUUGAAG